AUCGCAAGACCUCUCACUAUUGGAGCGGCCGAUAUCGGAUUAGCUAGUUGGUGGGGUAAAGGCCUACCAAGGCGACGAUCCGUAGCUGGUUUGAGAGGACGACCAGCCACACUGGGACUGAGACACGGCCCAGACUCCUACGGGAGGCAGCAGUGGGAAUUUUGGACAAUGGGGAAACCCUGAUCCAGCCAUUCCGCGUGUGCGAUGAAGGCCUUCGGGUUGCAAAGCACUUUUGGCAGGAAAGAAAUCGUGUGGGUUAAUACCCUGCGCGGAUGACGGUACCUGCAGAAUAAGCACCGGCUAACUACGUG
This 311-nucleotide ribosomal RNA is filed under the name uncultured bacterium. RNAcentral's name for it is "bacterial SSU rRNA". It matches the Rfam family "Bacterial small subunit ribosomal RNA", at positions 199 to 507 of the family's 1533-position model. The record is from RNAcentral.